This 775-nucleotide ribosomal RNA is filed under the name uncultured Neocallimastigales. RNAcentral describes it as "partial large subunit ribosomal RNA". It matches the Rfam family "Eukaryotic large subunit ribosomal RNA", at positions 24 to 618 of the family's 3401-position model. The record is from RNAcentral. Lineage: Eukaryota; Fungi; Neocallimastigomycota; Neocallimastigomycetes; Neocallimastigales.
UAUCUCUGUAGAGUCUGCAUAUCAAUAAGCGGAGGAAAAGAAACUAACUAGGAUUCCCUUAGUAACGGCGAGUGAAGCGGGAAGAGCUCAAAUUUGAAAUCUUCAAGGUUUUACCUUGACGAAUUGUAGUUUAAAGAAGUGUUUUCUGUUGGAUGUUUUGGUAAAAGUUCUUUGGAAUAGGACAUCAUAGAGGGUGAGAAUCCCGUAUUUGACCAUUACUUCCAGCUUUGUGAUACACUUUCAAAGAGUCGGAUUGUUUGGGAAUGCAGUCCAAAAUGGGUGGUAAAUUUCAUCUAAAGCUAAAUACUGGCGAGAGACCGAUAGCGAACAAGUACCGUGAGGGAAAGAUGAAAAGAACUUUGAAAAGAGAGUUAAACAGUACGUGAAAUUGUCAAAAGGGAAGCGUUUGACACCAGUGUUGUUUUCUCGAAAAUCAAUUAAAAAUGGCGGGAUUUUGUGUUGUAUUGACUUUAUCAGCUUUCUGCACUCUUUUCCUGUCUUUUUUAAUGCACUUUUCGUUUAACAAGUCAACAUCAAUUUCUUUUGUUGUAAAAGAGUCAUUGGAAGGUGGCUUUCUUCUCGGAGAAAGUGUUUAUAGCCUUUGGCUUCUGCAAUCGGAGAGAUUGAGGUCUGCAGCGUAGACUCCUCGGGGUUAGAUACGUCGGUGCUAAGCUAUAGCUUUUCAUAGACAACUUGUUGACUAUGUUUAGUCAUGUGGCUUACCCGCUGGCGCUAUUUUACCUACGCUUAGGAUGUUGAGUCAUCACACAUCUCU